CCGGCAUAAAAAAGGAGGAUCACCAUUUGCAGAAGGGGAGAUCGUGAUUUGGUGAGGACGGAGGCUUAAAUGGCUUGAUAGAAGUGCAUGCUCUAACCAAUGCAACCAAAAGACCGAUCUGAUGGAAAAGAUUAGACAACACAUUAUACGUCAACAGUCACAGGGAAAGAAGAAAUGAAGAAGGAUGCAGCGUAGAGAUGUGAACAUUGGCUUGGAAGUCAAGUCUAGACCAAUUACCACUUGUCAAAUGCACAUGUGGAUGUCAU
This 266-nucleotide long non-coding RNA is filed under the name Hordeum vulgare. RNAcentral describes it as "long non-coding RNA (HVUL_LNC008404)". Lineage: Eukaryota; Viridiplantae; Streptophyta; Magnoliopsida; Poales; Poaceae. The record is from RNAcentral.